ACGUAGGAGGCGAGCGUUAUCCGGAUUUACUGGGCGUAAAGCGCGUGCAGGCGGUUCGGCGAGUUGGAUGUGAAAGCUCCUGGCUUAACUGGGAGAGGUCGUUCAAUACUGCCGGGCUCGAGAGUGGGAGAGGGAGGUGGAAUUCCGGGUGUAGCGGUGAGAUGCGUAGAUAUGCGGAGGGACACCAGUGGCGAAGGGGACCUAGUGGGCUAUAACUGCCACGGAGACAGAAGAGGGGGGGAAGCAAACGG
Molecule: ribosomal RNA, 251 nt
Filed under: uncultured prokaryote
Description: partial 16S rRNA
Rfam family: Bacterial small subunit ribosomal RNA
Source: RNAcentral